This 375-nucleotide ribosomal RNA is filed under the name uncultured bacterium. RNAcentral describes it as "bacterial SSU rRNA". It matches the Rfam family "Bacterial small subunit ribosomal RNA", at positions 28 to 404 of the family's 1533-position model. The record is from RNAcentral.
GACGAACGCUGGCGGCGUGCUUAACACAUGCAAGUCGAGCGGUAAGGCCCUUUCGGGGGUACACGAGCGGCGAACGGGUGAGUAACACGUGGGUGACCUGCCCUCAGCUCUGGGAUAAGCCUGGGAAACCGGGUCUAAUACCGGAUAUGACUCCAUGACGCAUGUUGUGGGGUGGAAAGCCUUGUGCGGCUGAGGAUGGGCCCGCGGCCUAUCAGCUUGUUGGUGGGGUGANGGCCUACCAAGGCGACGACGGGUAGCCGGCCUGAGAGGGCGACCGGCCACACUGGGACUGAGACACGGCCCAGACUCCUACGGGAGGCAGCAGUGGGGAAUCUUGCGCAAUGGGCGAAAGCCUGACGCAGCGACACCGCGUGA